AACGAACGCUGGCGGCAUGCCUAAUACAUGCAAGUCGAACGAGAUCUUCGGAUCUAGUGGCGCACGGGUGCGUAACGCGUGGGAAUCUGCCCUUGGGUUCGGAAUAACAGCGGGAAGCUGCUGCUAAUACCGGAUGAUGACGUAAGUCCAAAGAUUUAUCGCCCAGGGAUGAGCCCGCGUAGGAUUAGGUAGUUGGUGGGGUAAAGGCCUACCAAGCCUACGAUCCUUAGCUGGUCUGAGAGGAUGAUCAGCCACACUGGGACUGAGACACGGCCCAGACUCCUACGGGAGGCAGCAGUAGGGAAUAUUGGACAAUGGGGGCAACCCUGAUCCAGCAAUGCCGCGUGAGUGAUGAAGGCCUUAGGGUUGUAAAGCCCUUUUACCCGGGAUGAUAAUGACAGUACCGGGAGAAUAAGCCCCGGCUAACUCCGUGCCAGCCGCCGCCGUAA
Molecule: ribosomal RNA, 449 nt
Filed under: uncultured bacterium
Lineage: Bacteria
Description: partial 16S ribosomal RNA
Rfam family: Bacterial small subunit ribosomal RNA
Source: RNAcentral